Molecule: ribosomal RNA, 468 nt
Filed under: uncultured bacterium
Lineage: Bacteria
Description: partial 16S ribosomal RNA
Rfam family: Bacterial small subunit ribosomal RNA
Source: RNAcentral
GACGAACGCUGGCGGCGUGCUUAACACAUGCAAGUCGAACGGAAAGGCCCUGCUUUUGUGGGGUGCUCGAGUGGCGAACGGGUGAGUAACACGUGAGUAACCUGCCCUUGACUUUGGGAAAACUUCAGGAAACUGGGGCUAAUACCGGAUAGGAGCUCCUGCUGCAUGGUGGGGGUUGGAAAGUUUCGGCGGUUGGGGAUGGACUCGCGGCUUAUCAGCUUGUUGGUGGGGUAGUGGCUUACCAAGGCUUUGACGGGUAGCCGGCCUGAGAGGGUGACCGGCCACAUUGGGACUGAGAUACGGCCCAGGCUCCUACGGGAGGCAGCAGUGGGGAAUAUUGCACAAUGGGCGGAAGCCUGAUGCAGCAACGCCGCGUGCGGGAUGACGGCCUUCGGGUUGUAAACCGCUUUCGCCUGUGACGAAGCGUGAGUGACGGUAAUGGGUAAAGAAGCACCGGCUAACUACGUG